This 928-nucleotide long non-coding RNA is filed under the name Mus musculus (house mouse). Its description in RNAcentral is "long non-coding RNA chr8:41242211-41243139". The record is from RNAcentral. Lineage: Eukaryota; Metazoa; Chordata; Mammalia; Rodentia; Muridae.
UGAAAUGCUGUAUAAAAAUGAAGAAAUAUAAUGGCUAAAGGAUGAGAAUAGAAGAGAUUUUGUUUAAAAUAUUUUAGAAGUAAUUGCUCUUUAGUGUGUAUGUAUGUAUGUGUGCAUCAUGCAUGCGUCUCUCUUCAGAAGGAAUCUGAAGUUACUUCUCCCAUGCUGUUUUAAGAAAAGCCAGGCAAGUGACAUAUACCUGUAGUCCCAGGAGUUGGGUAGCUGAGACAGUAGGAUCAGGAAUUUGGGGCUAGCCUGUCCUAUAGAGCCAGACACAGUCUUGAAAAAAAAAAAAUCAUACACACACACACACACAUUAAUUGUGUGUUUUGUCUGCAUGUAUGUAUGUGCACUAUUUCUUUGCCUGGUUCCAGCAGAACUCAGAUGAGGGUGUCAGAUUCCCUGGGACUGUUAAAGAGGGUUGUGAUCAAACUGUGGGUGCGGGGGGGGGGGACGGACGGACGGGGGACCUGGGUGAGUUCAGUCUCUCUUUUGUGUUUGAAACAGGGUCUCAUAUACCCCAUAUAGGCUGGCCUCUAGUUCAGUGUGUAGUUGAGGAAAACCUUGAUUUAUUUGUGCCCACUUCCCAAGCACUGUGAGUUCAGGUGUAUGCCACCAUGACCUGCUAGAAAUCCUAUUUUAAAAGUUGUUUAAUUCUUGCUUUCUGUGAAAGCAAACAUAUUUAAACUCCCUUAUGAGGACUAGAAGUGAGACUUAUGCAGGACUACAGACCGGUAGUUGAUUUAUAUCUCAAUUACAGUUCUGCUCUUGUUUUUUUAUGCUGGCAGGUUAUAACAAAACAAUAGGCAAAAUGGAACUUAGAAAAAAAUCAAAUGUGAGUGUUUAAUGCCAAAUGAUUGCAUUGUAUUGCAUUGUGGCUGGCAUUUUGUGAGAUGAAAAAGAAUUACACUUAUAAAAUAAUUUUACU